CGUACCUGUCUUGCUUUUUGACGAACAAAACUGACGGUGAUGUUAUGCACUGAUUGUAUGCAGAGUUGCAAACUGCGUGAUAAUUAUAUUAUAUACUACACAAAUGAUAUAUGUCCAAUCAUGGUUGCAUUGUUUGUGCGCUGAAUGUGCCUAAAAUUGAUUUGCAUUACUUGUGAAAUGUCGUCUGGGUAGCCAAGGCUGUUUGUUUGAGCGGAUUACGUGGAUGCCUUUCAGCACCAUGGAGAGCGCACACGACGCGUGAGCAAGAAAACUGGGGGAGAAAGUCAAGAAGAAGGACCCAACGGUUGCCUCCCACAGGCAGGAGAGGUAGGAUUUUCACUGCUGUGCAGGAAACUGCCAUCGUUGAUAUGGUCAUCAGAAACUAUGGCAUAAAACUCACAGAGAUUCAGGACAGAGUGUUGGCAGACAACAUUACAUUUGGAAAUAUUCACAAUAGAGUCAUGGAGAUUGAAGCCAGGCAAACAUCCUACAUAUUCAUCUUUGUGGAUGAGGCUGGUUUUAACUUGGCCAAAACACGGCGGCGAGGAAGGAAUGUGAUUGGGAAAAGAGCCACAGUGGAUAUCCUGGGCCAGAGGGGUGCCAACAUCACAAUGUGUGCAGCACUAUCCUGUGAUGGAUUGCUGUUACACAACCCGCCUAUUGGGCCAUACAACACAGAGCGUCUCAUUUCAUUCCUGGAUGACCUCUAUUGAAGGGUUGUGCCAGGUGAGAAAAGGGUUGCAGUGAGGCGAAAUCGGCCAACGUUUGAAAUUGUAUGGGACAAUGUGGCAUUUCACCACUCCCGUGCAGUCACAGAGCGGUAUGCAGCCCAUCCCAGGAUGGUGUCACAUUUCCUUCCACCUUACUCUCCAUUCCAUAACCCCAUAGAGGAAUUAUUUUCCUCAUGGUGGAAGGUUUAUGACCACCAUCCACAUGAUCAAAUGUCCCUCCUAGACACAAUUUUUCAAGUUUUUAAAUGUUAUAUAUAUUUUAUUUAUUUAACUAGACAAGUCAGUUAAGAAAUAAUUCUUAUU
Salvelinus namaycush (lake trout) is the source of this 1034-nucleotide long non-coding RNA. RefSeq lists it as uncharacterized. The record is from RefSeq and is a predicted model, not a curated record. NCBI's taxonomy places the organism in Eukaryota, Metazoa, Chordata, Actinopteri, Salmoniformes, Salmonidae. The transcript has 3 exons.